This 30-nucleotide non-coding RNA is filed under the name Mus musculus (house mouse). The record is from RNAcentral. Lineage: Eukaryota; Metazoa; Chordata; Mammalia; Rodentia; Muridae.
UCACUCUGGAGAUAGUGAAGGUGGCCAGGU